This 582-nucleotide ribosomal RNA is filed under the name Bradyrhizobium sp. Its description in RNAcentral is "bacterial SSU rRNA". It matches the Rfam family "Bacterial small subunit ribosomal RNA", at positions 915 to 1494 of the family's 1533-position model. The record is from RNAcentral. Lineage: Bacteria; Pseudomonadati; Pseudomonadota; Alphaproteobacteria; Hyphomicrobiales; Nitrobacteraceae.
GGGGGCCCGCACAAGCGGUGGAGCAUGUGGUUUAAUUCGACGCAACGCGCAGAACCUUACCAGCCCUUGACAUGUCCAGGACCGGUCGCAGAGACGUGACCUUCUCUUCGGAGCCUGGAACACAGGUGCUGCAUGGCUGUCGUCAGCUCGUGUCGUGAGAUGUUGGGUUAAGUCCCGCAACGAGCGCAACCCCCGUCCUUAGUUGCUACCAUUUAGUUGAGCACUCUAAGGAGACUGCCGGUGAUAAGCCGCGAGGAAGGUGGGGAUGACGUCAAGUCCUCAUGGCCCUUACGGGCUGGGCUACACACGUGCUACAAUGGCGGUGACAGUGGGAUGCGAAGACGCAAGUCCUAGCAAAUCUCAAAAAGCCGUCUCAGUUCGGAUUGGGCUCUGCAACUCGAGCCCAUGAAGUUGGAAUCGCUAGUAAUCGUGGAUCAGCACGCCACGGUGAAUACGUUCCCGGGCCUUGUACACACCGCCCGUCACACCAUGGGAGUUGGCUUUACCUGAAGACGGUGCGCUAACCAGCAAUGGAGGCAGCCGGCCACGGUAGGGUCAGCGACUGGGGUGAAGUCGUAACAA